Molecule: ribosomal RNA, 468 nt
Filed under: uncultured bacterium
Lineage: Bacteria
Description: partial 16S ribosomal RNA
Rfam family: Bacterial small subunit ribosomal RNA
Source: RNAcentral
GACGAACGCUGGCGGCGUGCUUAACACAUGCAAGUCGAACGGAAAGGCCCUGCUUUUGUGGGGUGCUCGAGUGGCGAACGGGUGAGUAACACGUGAGUAACCUGCCCUUGACUUUGGGAUAACUUCAGGAAACUGGGGCUAAUACCGGAUAGGAGCUCCUGCUGCAUGGUGGGGGUUGGAAAGUUUCGGCGGUUGGGGUUGGACUCGCGGCUUAUCAGCUUGUUGGUGGGGUAGUGGUUUACCAAGGCUUUGACGGGUAGCCGGCCUGAGAGGGUGACCGGCCACAUUGGGACUGAGAUACGGCCCAGUCUCCAACGGGAGGCAGUAGGCGGUAAUAUUGCACAAUGGCCGGAAGCCUGAGGCAGCGAGGCCGCGUGCGGGAUGGCGUCCUUCGGGUUGUAAACCGCUUUCGCCUGUGCUGACGCGUGCGGGACGGUAAUGAGUAAGGAAGCACCGGCUAACUACGUG